GGAUAGAUCAGUUGGUAGAGCAUGAAGUUCUUAAUCUCAGGGUUGUGGGUUUGAGCCCCAUGCUGGGUCA
Molecule: non-coding RNA, 70 nt
Organism: Podarcis lilfordi (Lilford's wall lizard)
Lineage: Eukaryota; Metazoa; Chordata; Lepidosauria; Squamata; Lacertidae
Source: the annotation of a GenBank genome assembly